This 899-nucleotide ribosomal RNA is filed under the name uncultured archaeon. RNAcentral describes it as "bacterial SSU rRNA". It matches the Rfam family "Archaeal small subunit ribosomal RNA", at positions 1 to 907 of the family's 1478-position model. The record is from RNAcentral.
UUCUGGUUGAUCCUGCCAGACCUGACUGCUAUCGGAUUGAUACUAAGCCAUGCGAGUCAUUGUAGCAAUACAAGGCAUACGGCUCAGUAACGCGUAGUCAACCUAACCUAUGGACGGGAAUAACCUCGGGAAACUGAGAAUAAUGCCCGAUAGAACAUUAUACCUGGAAUGGUUUAUGUUCCAAAUGAUUUAUCGCCGUAGGAUGGGACUGCGGCCUAUCAGUUUGUUGGUGAGGUAAUGGCCCACCAAGACUACUACAGGUACGGGCUCUGAGAGGAGUAGCCCGGAGAUGGGUACUGAGACACGGACCCAGGCCCUAUGGGGCGCAGCAGGCGAGAAAACUUUGCAAUGUGCGAAAGCACGACAAGGUUAAUCCGAGUGAUUUCUGCUAAAGAAAUCUUUUGUUAGUCCUAGAAACACUAACGAAUAAGGGGUGGGCAAGUUCUGGUGUCAGCCGCCGCGGUAAAACCAGCACCUCAAGUGGUCAGGAUGAUUAUUGGGCCUAAAGCAUCCGUAGCCGGCUCUGUAAGUUUUCGGUUAAAUCUGUACGCUUAACGUACAGGCCGCCGGGAAUACUGCAGAGCUAGGGAGUGGGAGAAGUAGACGGUACUCGGUAGGAAGUGGUAAAAUGCUUUGAUCUAUCGAUGACCACCUGUGGCGAAGGCGGUCUACUAGAACACGUCCGACGGUGAGGGAUGAAAGCUGGGGGAGCAAACCGGAUUAGAUACCCGGGUAGUCCCAGCUGUAAACUAUGCAAACUCAGUGAUGCAUUGGCUUGUGGCCAAUGCAGUGCUGCAGGGAAGCCGUUAAGUUUGCCGCCUGGGAAGUACGUACGCAAGUAUGAAACUUAAAGGAAUUGGCGGGGGAGCACCACAAGGGGUGAAGCCUGCGGUUCAAUU